CAAUUAGAAGCUUUGAUAAAAAAAGAACGGUUGCUAAAGUGUUUGCAACUGGUGACCUAGUAUUAGUAGAGGAGACCCAAUGCGGUGGCGGUAAAUUGAAAGCUAAAUAUAAAGGACCAUUCGAAAUACUUAAAUGUUUACCGAAUGAAAGGUACGUACUGAAAAGGGUAAAUGGACAAAUGAGGACCACUGUUGCUGGUCAAGAUCAAAUGAGACUGUGGCCGCAUGAGAAGGCUCAGGCAGAUGCAGCUGACGUGUAAAAGAAAACAAAGAUGAGCGUAUAACAGAUCUGGUCAACAAACUACUCUAGACUGAGUGAGUUAGAGUAGAUGGUUGGAAACAAAAGAUGGUCCGAGGACGAACCAAGGGCAGGAAGGCCGUGUAAGGUUGCGUAUAUGACCAUGCACCAGCAACAUGCAGAACACCCUGUGGAUAUGGAGUCACAUCACUGAUGGGGGGUUUUUCUGUUUAUGUCAGCGACUUGCGUCGCUGGGCAUGCGUCUCCUAAGAAAUGACUCAGACUCGUGCUCCGGCAUUCGUUGUAAACUGUUCACAAUUAAGAUCCGAUCGCUCUGUAUUAUUGAAUAAAACUAGUAAAACCGAAACAA
Long non-coding RNA from Dalotia coriaria, 608 nucleotides. RefSeq lists it as uncharacterized. The transcript is spliced from 2 exons. NCBI's taxonomy places the organism in Eukaryota, Metazoa, Arthropoda, Insecta, Coleoptera, Staphylinidae. The record is from RefSeq and is a predicted model, not a curated record.